CUACACACGUCAUACAAUGGGCUGGUACAAAGGGUUGCCAACCCGCAGGGGAGCCAAUCCCAUAAAGCCAGUCGUAGUCCGGAUCGUAGUCUGCAACUCGACUACGUGAAGUCGGAAUCGCUAGUAAUCGUGGAUCAGAAUGUCACGGUGAAUACGUUCCCGGGUCUU
RNAcentral lists this ribosomal RNA (168 nucleotides) under uncultured Rhodoferax sp. RNAcentral describes it as "partial 16S ribosomal RNA". It matches the Rfam family "Bacterial small subunit ribosomal RNA", at positions 1214 to 1382 of the family's 1533-position model. The record is from RNAcentral. Lineage: Bacteria; Pseudomonadati; Pseudomonadota; Betaproteobacteria; Burkholderiales; Comamonadaceae.